AGUGAACGCUGGCGGUAGGCCUAACACAUGCAAGUCGAACGGCAGAACAGGAGAGCUUGCUCUCUGGGUGGCGAGUGGCGGACGGGUGAGGAAAAUCAUCGGAAUCUACCUUUUUCCGUGGGGGUGAUAACGUAGGGAAAUCUUACGCUAAUACCGCAUACGACCUACGGGUGAAAGUGGGGACCGCAAGGCCUCACGCGAUUAGAUGAGCCGAUGUCCGAUUAGCUAGUUGGCGGGUAAUGGCCCACCAAGGCGACGAUCGGUAGCUGGUCUGAGAGGAUGAUCAGCCACACUGGAAUCUGAGACACGGUCCAGACUCCUACGGGAGGCAGCAGUGGGGAAUAUUGGACAAUGGGCGCAAGCCUGAUCCAGCCAUACCGCGUGGGUGAAGAAGGCCUCGGUUGUAAGCC
RNAcentral lists this ribosomal RNA (410 nucleotides) under uncultured bacterium. RNAcentral's name for it is "bacterial SSU rRNA". It matches the Rfam family "Bacterial small subunit ribosomal RNA", at positions 29 to 432 of the family's 1533-position model. The record is from RNAcentral.